UGCAGGAGAAGUGCAGCAGUUCCAGGACAAGUGCAGCAGUGCAGGAUGAGUGCAGCAGUGCAGGACAAGUGCAGCAGUUCCAGCACGAGUGCAGCAGUUCCAGCACGAGUGCAGCAGUGCAGGACAAGUGCAGCACUGAGGACAGCACAGUGCAGGCUCCAGACAAGCUGUGGCUGAGCUCUCAGGGACUUUAUGCAUGAAUACAACCAGGAGUAGAAACUUGAUGGUCCUAUAAAUCAGCACGAGCACCGUUACUCCUCAGCAGCACCUGGGGUUUGAAAGCCUCGUGAGCCGCGGUGGCUCCGCUCUGCACUGGAGCCUGGCA
Non-coding RNA from Cyanistes caeruleus (blue tit), 325 nucleotides. Lineage: Eukaryota; Metazoa; Chordata; Aves; Passeriformes; Paridae. The record is from RefSeq and is a predicted model, not a curated record.